Small nuclear RNA from Apodemus sylvaticus (European woodmouse), 104 nucleotides. Lineage: Eukaryota; Metazoa; Chordata; Mammalia; Rodentia; Muridae. The record is from RefSeq and is a predicted model, not a curated record.
GCGUUUAUUAUAGAUGGCAGCACCUAUACUAAAAUUGGACCGACACAGAUUAGCAUGGCCCCUGUUUAAGGAUGACAUGCAAAUGCGUUGAGUUCCAUAUUUUA